Molecule: long non-coding RNA, 1370 nt
Filed under: Homo sapiens (human)
Lineage: Eukaryota; Metazoa; Chordata; Mammalia; Primates; Hominidae
Description: non-protein coding lnc-CTSV-3:3
Source: RNAcentral
GGCUUUUUUUAUUUUGAGUAUCCUAACUCCAAACCUAGUGUUCUUUUCACUCCAUUAUCCUGCUGUUUAUAGCAAAUCAAGACCCAUAAUGAUACGUCUUUCAUUUAUUUCAGUUCUGCCAAGGAAAGAGAAAAUACCUUUUAAUCCCAGGGAAAGGAUUGCAAUCACCACAUUAUAAGGUAUAUGGCGUGGAAUGCAGAAUUCUAAAUACUAGAAGGGAAAAGUAGUUGGCAGAUUCAUCAGAGGCUUAAGGAUAAGUACUUGUUUCCAAUUUAAAAGUAUAAUUAGGAUUGUCUUUAAUGUUCUCUAGAAAUACUAUAAUUAAUCUAGAGAUCUAUCAAUGGUCACAUCUCAGUUUUUUUCUUCCCUGAGAUUCAAAGACGUGUAAUACCAAUACUUCAGAUUCCUAUAGUAUUUGGGACUUUGUAGACUAGUGAAUAGAUACUUUGUUGCUAGUCCAAAUCCUCUGAUUUUGGUUUGAUUUGUCCUAGCAGAUCCCUGAACUUCAGAGAGUAUUGCCAUUUGGAUUCAUGGAGUUGGCGAACUGCUACACUGCUACCUUGUGUAUGGCUCUAAGCUUUGAUCCUAAUGACUGGUUGAUGAUCAUGAUAAUAUUAGGGCCAGUGAAUAUAGCUCAUAGUGAUAAUAAGGAUUCUAGGGUAUUUUUUUUUUCUUUUAGAAAAAGAUCCUGGAAGUUUAUUUGAUCUGACAUGUUUUUGUAAUAUUUAGAAAUAGCUCUUGUAUCAUAAAAAGUUGCCCAGUAUAAGACACACAAGAUGUAUUUUUUUCUCUGGUGAAAAUCAUGCCUAUCACUAGUAUAUGUUUGACAUUUGUAGUAUACUUAAAAUAGUAUUGGGUGUGAGGCAUGGUGGUGAUGAAAAGUAGUCCUUACGGCUACUUGUUAGUCAUUAGAGAGAACAUGGAGAAGGGGUCAAAGUUGGUAUCAUUAACAGGGCAAUGACUUGACCCUUCUUUCAACUGAUCUUACUGGUAGUUGUCUCUAGUUUUUAAGUAAAUUAAUGAUGGACCAUCCCCCAAACAGAGAACUAUGGGGGUAUGAAACAAGGCUGAAGGCUUUUAACCAUGGGAGAAAAAGGUGUUGGUAUUAUUCAUAUAGCAUAACCUGAGGUUGGAGAGGACCACUUGGGAGCCUGUAACCAAAACUAGAAGGUAACUUCUGGGAUGGACGGAGGUUCCCUUGAAGCAGUGCCAACCUAAAUCUACCUCAGGUAAGUAGUUAGAUUAACUUUUUCAAGAUUUCAGACCAAACAAGACAACUUGUAUUCAGUUGAUGUAUUCCUAUGCUUUAAUGUUUUUGUUUGCCCUUAAUUAUUAAAUAAACAUUUGUUCUGAAAAAAAAAAAAAAAAAA